RNAcentral lists this ribosomal RNA (429 nucleotides) under Actinomycetes bacterium. RNAcentral's name for it is "Actinobacteria bacterium partial 16S ribosomal RNA". It matches the Rfam family "Bacterial small subunit ribosomal RNA", at positions 355 to 776 of the family's 1533-position model. The record is from RNAcentral. Lineage: Bacteria; Bacillati; Actinomycetota; Actinomycetes.
UAGGGAAUCUUCCGCAAUGGGCGAAAGCCUGACGGAGCAACGCCGCGUGAGUGAUGAAGGUCUUCGGAUCGUAAAACUCUGUUAUUAGGGAAGAACAAAUGUGUAAGUAACUAUGCACGUCUUGACGGUACCUAAUCAGAAAGCCACGGCUAACUACGUGCCAGCAGCCGCGGUAAUACGUAUGUGGCAAGCGUUAUCCGGACUUAUUGGGCGUAAAGCGCGCGUAGGCGGUUUUUUAAGUCUGAUGUGAAAGCCCACGGCUCAACCGUGGAGGGUAAUUGGAAACUGGAAAACUUGAGUGCAGAAGAGGAAAGUGGAAUUCCAUGUGUAGCGGUGAAAUGCGCAGAGAUAUGGGGGAACACCAGUGGCGAAGGCGACUUUCUGGUCUGUAACUGACGCUGAUGUGCGAAAGCGUGGGGAUCAAACAGG